CCUACGGGUGGCAGCAGUGGGGAAUAUUGCUCAAUGGGGGGAACCCUGAACCAGCGACGCCGCGUGAAGGAAGAAGGAUUUCGGUUUGUAAAGCCCUUUUGGCAGGGAAGAAAAUGACGGUACCUGACUAAUAAGCACCGGCUAACUCCGUGCCAGCAGCCGCGGUAAUACGUAGGGGGCAAGCGUUAUCCGGAUUUACUGGGUGUAAAGGGCGCGUAGGCGGUAUAGCAAGUCAGAUGUGAAAGCUUAUGGCUUAACCGUCGAACUGCAUUUGAAACUGUUGAUCUCGAGUACGGGAGAGGUAGGCGGAAUUCGUGGUGUAGCGGUGAAAUGCGUAGAUAUUACGAAGAACUCCGAUUGCGAAGGCAGCUUACUGGACUGCAACUGACGUUGAGGCUCGAAAGCGUGGGGAGCAAACAGGAUUAGAUACCCUAGUAGUC
RNAcentral lists this ribosomal RNA (440 nucleotides) under uncultured bacterium. Its description in RNAcentral is "partial 16S ribosomal RNA". It matches the Rfam family "Bacterial small subunit ribosomal RNA", at positions 338 to 795 of the family's 1533-position model. The record is from RNAcentral.